Molecule: ribosomal RNA, 253 nt
Filed under: uncultured prokaryote
Description: partial 16S ribosomal RNA
Rfam family: Bacterial small subunit ribosomal RNA
Source: RNAcentral
UACGUAGGGGGCAAGCGUUGUCCGGAUUUAUUGGGCGUAAAGAGCGUGUAGGCGGCCAUACAGGUCAGCUGUGAAAACUCGAGGCUCAACCUCGAGAUGUCGGUUGAAACCACCUGGCUAGAGUCCGGAAGAGGAGAAUGGAAUUCCCGGUGUAGCGGUGAAAUGCGCAGAUAUCAGGAGGAACACCAAUAGCGAAGGCAGCUCGCUGGGACGGUACUGACGCUGAGGCGCGAAAGCGUGGGGAGCGAACAGG